GCCAGUGUGGCAUAGUGGUUUGAGUGUUGGACUAUGACUCUAGAGACCACAGUUUGAUUCCCAGCUCAGCCA
RNAcentral lists this transfer RNA (72 nucleotides) under Phrynosoma platyrhinos (Desert horned lizard). Its description in RNAcentral is "tRNA-OTHER". The record is from RNAcentral. Lineage: Eukaryota; Metazoa; Chordata; Lepidosauria; Squamata; Phrynosomatidae.